Molecule: long non-coding RNA, 1731 nt
Organism: Neogobius melanostomus (round goby)
Lineage: Eukaryota; Metazoa; Chordata; Actinopteri; Gobiiformes; Gobiidae
Source: Ensembl
AUUCAGGAGAGCAGAAACGUCACGUGUAUCUGGGCAGACGUGAAACAAACAGGAAGUCACAAACUGUCACAGGAGGAUAUUUGCUCUCAGGGUUUUGCACAUUUGAUUUUAUUGUUGUUUUUAUGACUUUUUAUUUCCUGUUUCCCCUCGCGCCUGUGGCAGAGUUUAUCCACUGAGCCCGGAGGCACGAGAGGAGCGGGUGUAAGGCCAGGGAGAACCGGCUGGAUGGUCCGGACCAGGCAGGAGCAGCGUCUGCUUCAGACCCAGAGUGUUGUGUCCAAAUACUGUGAUGUUUCUAACUUCAGCCUCAUCUGUGUGAAAGAACAAAGCAGUCGAUGUUGUAAAUGUGAAGGAUCAGUGACUGUCUGUCCCGCUGUCACCAUGGCAACAGAAAGACUCGACUGAAGCCAUCAAAUCUGCUCAAAGACUUUCAGACUGAAACUGCAGCCGCCGUCCUAAACGUGGAGCUGUUCCAACUCUGUUCACAUGGAAUAACUUUACUGAACCAGAGAGUCUGUGUCUGCCAUGGAAAAGGCUCAGAAACGAGCUCGUCCUCUCACAGCAAACGAGUCAGGCUGAAGCUGCUCCUGCUCCCACAAACCAUCCAGGUGCACUUGAUGAAGCCCUUAAAUACCAAGGCGUUGGAAGCCAGGCUGGAGAAAGUGACUUUGUGUCCGCUCUUUAGUCGCUGCUGCGCCUCGGACGAUCUGCAAAUGUCAGAGCAAGAGAAACAAACCUGUAGAGAAAAUAAGUUCCAUUUGCACAAUGACAGAACGCUAACAGGAAGUGACCGUUUUUCGGGGUUCGUGAAAAAGGUCUAUUUAAUGUUUUGAACAGCAUAAAACUGAUUAUACGCCCCAUAGUCUUAAGUGUUUUAGCUUAUGUUUAUCUUAACUCUGUGUUAUAUGUUUUAUGUCGCACGUUUGCACUGAGAAAAAUUCCUAGUUUGUGAACCUGUUCUCAAACCAUGGCAAUAAAACCUAUUCUGAUUCUGAUUCUGAAAUCAGACGAACAAAAAUACAUUCACACGUUGAGUGACGACACGCCCCCCUGGAGGGCAAAAGGAAAGCGCAUGCCAAAGUGCUACAAUAAUUAGCUAACAACGUUUGACAACGCAGCACAACAAAACAAUCCAGUAAUCAGUAUGGCGAACACAUGGAGCAUUAUCGGCAGCACAAACAGGCGAAGGAAAGAGUGAUAUCACCACUUCAAAACCGUGGGAGCAAAAAUAUUACGAUUGAAUUUGCUCUGUUCACUUCAUUGGAGGUAAGUAAAUGAAGAGGUAGCCUAAUUUUGUUUGUGUGAAUGUGUUUAUGUAAUUUUGUCAUGUAUUUACAUCAUACCAUUGUGCAAACCUAAUACUAAUCUGAAGCUAACAAAUUAGCAAAGACUUUGAUGCUUGUAUUUAUUGUCAAACCUUUUAAACGAUGCAUUAUAUAUCACAUAUUACAUUAUACCGGUUUAUUUCCUUUUAAUAAGUCCAUGCUGGGCAUUGGUGGAGCUUUGGGACUACAACAUGUGUAAUAGCUUUGUGAUUCUUUUCAGGUAAACCAUGUGACGAUCCUGGAAGUCCGAGCUACAGUCCCUCCAUAUUCAGCUUCACAUCACAGGCCGAACAGUCCAGACGUGUUGAAGAUCGAUAUGAACGGCUUAGAAAACGUCAAACACCUGUUGAGUCCAUAAAUGAAGAUGUGCAGCAGAUGCACUUCUGUCACCGAGGUCAAAUCUGAC